GCUGCGCGUAACACCACACUCUGGCUUGAUUGCUUGACUUUUAAUCGGAAGUGGUCACCGGGCCUUAUCGCUAUUCUUCAAUGUUGUCUUUGGAAUUUUUGUCGUCAUUUCGUCUGCGCCAAUGUUGGUCAACAACAGAAACUGGAUCACACCGCACUCCCAACACUGAACUUUGAAUAUUUGUGGCACAACUUUGCGUUGCCGCUUAUUGCGAAGUCCCUUAAGGUAAAGUUGCGUUUGAAUAUCUCCAGGCUGAGUGCAUAAUGCCCUGCAUUUUUGCCCUAUACAUUUAAUGUACAUCGACCGGGGCAAGUAGUGCAAAUCUGAGCCUUUUACGGCCUUCAAUCUGCGUGCCAGUUUGUAGUCCGCGCCGUUAGUGAAAAUAUGCUGUCCGAACAUAGCGAACUAUGGUGACGUUCGCGUACUGCUGUGUAUCGCACUACGCGGUGGUGCCUUUUUAUCGGGGAGCUUUUCAUCUCAUCGCGCAUGGUCGCCAAAUUGAAUCCAGGUUGUUGCCAGCACAGACUGGUUGACUAUUUGUCCCUGUCCCCUGUUUUCUGGUGAGGUAUAUACUGAUAUUUACUUUUGAAUUCGGUAAACUCAAUAGACGUGAACUGUCUGAUACUGUCUGUAUAAUUAAUUUCAGGUCCUCCUAACUGUGCGAAAUUACCAAAGUGAUCAAGCACUGUGAAAAGGUGCGUGCAGUCAUGUCGCGUGUGUGGAUUUUCGCCCAAAAUUCCAUACACAAUUUUGUAUUAACAUCUGUUGAUUUCCUUACCAAUAAGCGGACAAGUAACGCGUGUCGUAUGCCUUGUCUUUUUACAAGCUUCACAGUUGGUGAAUUAUUAUCAAACAUGGAUUAACAUAAGGAGCCAGUAGAAGGUUUGCUAGGCCAAAGUCUUCGUAAUUCUACCAUGCAUCGCCAUAUUGCCUUCAUGCACAUUUUGUAUAAGCGUCGAUGGCAAUGCUUCAGGAACCCAUAGUUUCCAGAAUUCUAUUCUGUGGAACUGGGUUCUUUUGAAUAACUGUCCCUCUUCAACUCGUAAGUGUGGAAGCUUCUCUAACAACUUUUUGCAUUUCAAAACAUUCCUGGCUGUCAAAUUUGGUGGUCUCAAAAACGAACACCGCAACUUCCUCUACUUCAAACAGUUUAAUGGAGAACAUAUCUGCACCAUCCCGUUCUGCCUAAAAAGCUUCAAAGUUGCCUAGUGCUUUUCAGGAGAGCGAUCUGCAGUAUGCUCCUAUCUUCUUUGGAUCGGUGUGCAAUACGCUGGUAUUUGAAACAGAAUUUAGAGACUUGUUCCUUCCAUCAGGCAAUCGCAGACUUUUUUAGUUGCUUUCAGUGCUCCACAAAUGUUUUCGUAGUGAUUAGUAGUAACUAAUCACGUGAUUGCGCAAGUAUUGAGGAAUAACCUUGACCAUCAAUCUGCACAGUCUCUGAGCAGCGUUUCACAGCCCUCAAGGCAUAAUUUGAAACAAAUAGAUAGACCUGCCGUUUUUUGGCCAGAACGCGUACUUUAGACUUUCUGAUUCCCUUACUUCAUUGCGAUUCUUGCCAUCUUAUUGUAUUAUUGAAGAACCUCAGGUGGUGGCCAGUUCGGUGACCUUGUCCUCACCUGGGUUCUCUGCGUCUCCUCUCGUGGAAUUUUACUCCCAGUUCGGCCAUACAAAAAAAUUAAAUUAAUAUAUUUUAAAACUGGCGGGAAUUUUCAGCCUUGCCCUUUUCAGAAAGUACACGCCCGUGGAAAAUUUUAAUCUACCCAUCUUGAUCGCCACUUUUUUAUUUUGGAUUUUAAAAAAAGUGAAUCAAAUAGAGAAUAAAAAUAUAAAUAAAAAAUUAAGUGUUGGAAUAAACAAAUUCCGCCCAUAUUAGUAUUGCGGUAAGAAUCCUGAA
Drosophila virilis is the source of this 1894-nucleotide non-coding RNA. The record is from RefSeq and is a predicted model, not a curated record. Lineage: Eukaryota; Metazoa; Arthropoda; Insecta; Diptera; Drosophilidae.